This 163-nucleotide ribosomal RNA is filed under the name Trichomonas sp. 6 AP-2012. Its description in RNAcentral is "5.8S ribosomal RNA". It matches the Rfam family "5.8S ribosomal RNA". Rfam says of the family: 5.8S ribosomal RNA (5.8S rRNA) is a component of the large subunit of the eukaryotic ribosome. The record is from RNAcentral. Lineage: Eukaryota; Parabasalia; Trichomonadida; Trichomonadidae.
AAGUCUCUAGGCAAUGGAUGUCUUGGCUCCUCACACGAUGAAGAACGUGGCAUAAUGUGUUAAGUAACCGGAGUUGCAAACAUCAUGACAGGUUAAUCUUUGAAUGCAAAUUGCACUUAUCCCGGUCUCGGCCGGGGGAGUAUGGAUGCAACAGUACUACAUA